UGUGUCAUUAUUUACCCUUUUGGUUUCUUACAGGAGAGAGUUUUCAGAGCUUUUGGAGAAGUAUGGAUCCAGCAGUAGUACUGGGUCAACACGCAACUCUCCCAUCCAGCAUGCAGGCAGAUAUCUGGACAGCACAUCGUCCGGGUCUUCGUCACGCUCCCAGAGUCCUUUGCUUUUGAGUCCUGCUGGCUCUCAGAGCACCUACAACAACCCUCUACUGCGCUCCCUCAGUCACCCAGGAGAGGGUGUGAUCCAGCUGAUCUCUGUAGCCCGCUCCUCUAGUCUGGGCAUCGCCAUCGGCGGAGGCUCCAAUAGGCCGG
Oncorhynchus masou masou (cherry salmon) is the source of this 320-nucleotide long non-coding RNA. RefSeq lists it as uncharacterized. The record is from RefSeq and is a predicted model, not a curated record. The transcript has 3 exons. NCBI's taxonomy places the organism in Eukaryota, Metazoa, Chordata, Actinopteri, Salmoniformes, Salmonidae.